CUCUAGCCCCGAUGGACGCGACUACCGUGUAGUGCAAACAGCGGGAAAAUGG
This 52-nucleotide small RNA is filed under the name Flavobacterium sp. 102. RNAcentral describes it as "Flavo-1 RNA". Lineage: Bacteria; Pseudomonadati; Bacteroidota; Flavobacteriia; Flavobacteriales; Flavobacteriaceae. The record is from RNAcentral.